RNAcentral lists this ribosomal RNA (502 nucleotides) under uncultured bacterium. RNAcentral describes it as "partial 16S ribosomal RNA". It matches the Rfam family "Bacterial small subunit ribosomal RNA", at positions 30 to 523 of the family's 1533-position model. The record is from RNAcentral.
AUUGAACGCUGGCGGCAUGCCUCACACAUGCAAGUCGAACGGCAGCGCGGGAGCUUGCUCCUGGCGGCGAGUGGCGAACGGGUGAGUAAUACAUCGGAACGUACCCAGAAGUGGGGGAUAACGUAGCGAAAGUUACGCUAAUACCGCAUAUUCUGUGAGCAGGAAAGUUGGGGAUCGCAAGACCUCACGCUUUUGGACCGGCCGAUGUCGGAUUAGCUAGUUGGCGAGGUAAAGGCUCACCAAGGCGACGAUCCGUAGCGGGUCUGAGAGGAUGAUCCGCCACACUGGGACUGAGACACGGCCCAGACUCCUACGGGAGGCAGCAGUAGGGAAUUUUGGACAAUGGGGGCAACCCUGAUCCAGCCAUGCCGCGUGAGUGAAGAAGGCCUUCGGGUUGUAAAGCUCUUUCGCGAGGGAAGAAAGCGCACUGGUUAAUACCUGGUGUGGAUGACGGUACCUUGAUAAGAAGCACCGGCUAACUACGUGCCAGCCGCCGCAGUAA